AUAUAUGAUAUAAUAACGAAACUAUAUAAGUUCCAAAUAAUAAUCCUCCUCCAACAAUGGUUAGAUUAUUUUAUUGAAAACGUUAAAAGCUCAACAAACACAUUUCAUGAACUACAAAAAUAAAUUAACACAUUAAACUUAAUCUAAUACUAUUAGGGUCUUACAUAUAACCAAAGUACAAGAAGUCAAAUGAAUGUUAAAUCCAAUGCCGCUAAAGAAGAUAGUGUUAUCAACCAAUGCCUUUUUUGUUUUAUGGUCCAUGUUACAACCACGCAUUAGUUAAACUAUUAUGUACCUAAACCUCAAUUGAUAAAAACAUGAAAAUUAAAGAUAAUAAUAAGUGAUGCUUAUAUAAUGGCCGCAAAUUGUUCAAACGUAAAAAAUAAAAAAUACGAAAAUAAACUCUAACUA
Camellia sinensis is the source of this 411-nucleotide non-coding RNA. The record is from RefSeq and is a predicted model, not a curated record. Lineage: Eukaryota; Viridiplantae; Streptophyta; Magnoliopsida; Ericales; Theaceae.